This 434-nucleotide ribosomal RNA is filed under the name uncultured bacterium. RNAcentral's name for it is "partial 16S ribosomal RNA". It matches the Rfam family "Bacterial small subunit ribosomal RNA", at positions 29 to 507 of the family's 1533-position model. The record is from RNAcentral.
GCGAACGCUGGCGGCAGGCUUAACCCAUGCCAGUCGCGCGGGCACUUUCGGGUGUCCGCGGCGGACGGGUGAGUAACGCGUGGGAACGUGCCCUCUGGUUCGGAAUAACUCAGGGAAACUUGAGCUAAUACCGGAUACGCCCUUUUGGGGAAAGGCUUGCUGCCGGAGGAUCGGCCCGCGUCUGAUUAGCUAGUUGGUGAGGUAACGGCUCACCAAGGCGACGAUCAGUAGCUGGUCUGAGAGGAUGAUCAGCCACACUGGGACUGAGACACGGCCCAGACUCCUACGGGAGGCAGCAGUGGGGAAUAUUGGACAAUGGGCGCAAGCCUGAUCCAGCCAUGCCGCGUGAGUGAUGAAGGCCUUAGGGUUGUAAAGCUCUUUUAUCCGGGACGAUAAUGACGGUACCGGAGGAAUAAGCCCCGGCUAACUUCGUG